UUUAUUGAAUCAAAUUAAAUGCUGAAAGGUGAGAUAAGUGCAGUUGCUCUCUUCGCCUCUAGGUGGCAGUGGUGAAACAGCCAGGUGGACCUGAGGCUUUCUGUCAGGGAAAGAAGAGGAAACCAGCCUGGGAAGAGAAUUCCGUUUUGCUUCCCUCCUUUAAGCAACUCUCCCUGUUUCACUGCUGUGUCCUAGGUCCUGAGUGAGGCUCUGGGUAAGCACCGGUGAUUAUAUCAUCUGCAUAAAUCAUUUUGACCCACUCUGGUGAGUGCAUUGAAUGUUGUAGGUAGUUGAUGUGAAAGCACUGAAAAUCAGAACACUAACAAAUCACAGAGUGCUCCUUGAAGGAGGGAACAGGGAGAAGUGAAAGAAAUUGCCUCCUGAAGGCACUUCAACCUGAGCUGGGGAGAAAAGACGCAGGUGUGUGAAAUCCAACAACACAGGGUCGAAGCUGGAGCUCGUGACAGCACUGAGAGAGUGUGGAAAGAAAUGGCUGUUCAUUGUUUGGUUUUGAUGACAGCACUGGUGUCCAGACUGGUCAUUGUGAUCAAAGAGGUGUUGGCAGGAGUUUCUGGGUGCAGCAAGUGGCCUGAGUGAAUAAUAAAGGAGGGCAUAAGGAGGACCAGAAGGCUGAGUGGACCAGUUUGGGCAGGCCAAGGGCCAUAAGGUGGACUUGGAGAUAAAUCUAGAAAAACAUGCUGGGGUCUAGUGAUAGAAGGUUUCUAGGCACAAUCAAGAGGUGACCUUGGAAGAUUGCUUUUUUAGGGAAGGCACAAGGGUAGACAGACUGGUCAAGAGGCUUUUGCAGUACAGAGGUGGUCUGGUAAUGGCCUGAACUUGAGGGUUGGAACGGGGACUGCUUCUUUAUCUUCUGUGUCAUGUGCCUUGCUCUGUACCUGGCAUGUGGUUGGCACUCCCAUCUGUGCUGGGUGAAGGAAGGCUUAGAAGGGAGCUCAGAAGUGAGUGGAUCUAGCUGCCUGUCAUAGACAUUUAUGCCACAGGAAAGGGUCACAGGAAAGAGAAUAGUCCAGAACAACCCAAUGGCAAAACUGAUGUCACCAUGAACAGAAACAGGGAGACUGAGGGAGAGGAAUGAUUUGGAGGGAAAAGACCAAGUUGGGUUUGGAGAUGCUAAGUUCGCUUAGGUACAGGGAUGGAGAGAAGUGGCUUAGAGGACGUGUGUGUGCAACCAAGUGAAGUAAUUCAGGGGAGGAGGAAGUUUGAAGAGGGGACGAGGACCAGAAGAGAGGAGAUAAGGGUGCUUGCAGCUGCAGACAGGGGGGUAGGUCAGGGACAUACACAUUCACCUUGAUUUUGUUACUAAAUUAGGAGUGAGGGGACGGGACUUCAGCAAUUUCUGAAAGAAUAUCUGGUGAACAGAUUAAGAGGCCAGCUGAUUUGUCUGAGGUUAUGUGUGUGACUGAGCAGGGAACUCUGAAUGAGAUCUUUUGCUUUCAUGGGACGCUGUGAUGGUGAGUCCUGGCGGGUGGAACCACACUGGCUUCCCUGGAACCCAUGCCCAUUAGAAAUGGCAUCAAAGGUUGGAUUGUUUCUAGGGUCCCAAAGGAAAAGGGUUGAAGUAUUCUUUUGUGGACCUGGAGGCAGGUGGUGAAGUGGGUGUUUACCCAGAACUGAUGGGUGCUGCAAAGCAGGUAGUAACAUCUUCAUUUUGUAGAUAUGGAAACUGAGCUCUGGGAAAGGAAGUGAUGGGCCCACAAUAGUGCAGCUGAUUAGUAUUAUGUUAGUAUCAGAGUUCAGAUCUGCCAGGCUUCAAAGCCUGUGGGAUUUUCCUGCUUUACCAUGUUGCUUUGUAGUUCUGUUUAAGAGCCCUGGAGU
Molecule: long non-coding RNA, 1836 nt
Organism: Phyllostomus discolor (pale spear-nosed bat)
Lineage: Eukaryota; Metazoa; Chordata; Mammalia; Chiroptera; Phyllostomidae
Exons: 2
Source: RefSeq, a predicted model, not a curated record